UUGAACGCUGGCGGCAUGCUUUACACAUGCAAGUCGAACGGUAACAGGCCUUCGGGCGCUGACGAGUGGCGAACGGGUGAGUAACGCAUCGGAACGUGCCCAGUCGUGGGGGAUAACGCAGCGAAAGCUGUGCUAAUACCGCAUACGAUCUGCGGAUGAAAGCGGGGGACCUUAGGGCCUCGCGCGAUUAGAGCGGCCGAUGCCUGAUUAGCUUGUUGGUGGGGUAAAAGCCCACCAAGGCGACGAUCAGUAGCUGGUCUGAGAGGACGAUCAGCCACACUGGGACUGAGACACGGCCCAGACUCCUACGGGAGGCAGCAGUGGGGAAUUUUGGACAAUGGACGCAAGUCUGAUCCAGCCAUUCCGCGUGCAGGAUGAAGGCCCUCGGGUUGUAAACUGCUUUUGUACGGAACGAAAAGGUUUGUCUUAAUACGAUGAGCUCAUGACGGUACCGUAAGAAUAAGCACCGGCUAACUACGUG
RNAcentral lists this ribosomal RNA (481 nucleotides) under uncultured bacterium. Its description in RNAcentral is "bacterial SSU rRNA". It matches the Rfam family "Bacterial small subunit ribosomal RNA", at positions 30 to 507 of the family's 1533-position model. The record is from RNAcentral.